UUGCUCGCUUCAGCAGCACAUAUACUAAAAUUGGAGCAAUACAGAGAUUAGCAUGGCCACUGCGCAAGGAUGACACGUAAAUUCAUGAAGAGUUCCAUAUUUUA
Small nuclear RNA from Aethalodelphis obliquidens (Pacific white-sided dolphin), 104 nucleotides. The record is from RefSeq and is a predicted model, not a curated record. NCBI's taxonomy places the organism in Eukaryota, Metazoa, Chordata, Mammalia, Artiodactyla, Delphinidae.